Molecule: ribosomal RNA, 355 nt
Filed under: uncultured soil bacterium
Lineage: Bacteria
Description: bacterial SSU rRNA
Rfam family: Bacterial small subunit ribosomal RNA
Source: RNAcentral
AGAACGAACGCUGGCGGCAGGCUUAACACAUGCAAGUCGAACGCACUCUUCGGAGUGAGUGGCAGACGGGUGAGUAACGCGUGGGAACGUACCCUUCGGUUCGGAAUAACCCAGGGAAACUUGGGCUAAUACCGGAUACGUCCGCAAGGAGAAAGAUUCAUUGCCGAAGGAUCGGCCCGCGUCGGAUUAGCUAGUUGGUGAGGUAACGGCUCACCAAGGCGACGAUCCGUAGCUGGUCUGAGAGGAUGAUCAGCCACACUGGGACUGAGACACGGCCCAGACCUCCUACGGGAGGCAGCAGGUGGGAAUAUUGGAACAAUGGGCGCAAGCCUGAUCCGAGCCAUCGCCGCGUAGA